Molecule: ribosomal RNA, 249 nt
Filed under: uncultured bacterium
Lineage: Bacteria
Description: partial 16S ribosomal RNA
Rfam family: Bacterial small subunit ribosomal RNA
Source: RNAcentral
GAUCCUGGCUCAGGACGAACGCUGGCGGCGUGCCUAACACAUGCAAGUCGAACGGGGUUACACGAGGUGCUUGCACCAUGUGGAACCUAGUGGCGGACGGGUGAGUAACGCGUGAGCAACCUGCCUUUCAGAGGGGGAUAACAACGGGAAACCGUUGCUAAUACCGCAUAAUACCGGAUGAUGGCAUCAUUGACCGGUCAAAGGAGCAAUCCGCUGAAAGAUGGGCUCGCGUCCCAUUAGGUAGUUGGG